CCUCUUACAAAUCGCCCCAAUCUGGGGCUAAUGUCUCGCCGUAAGGUGAGUGGUGGAGGCUAAGGCAAAUUGCCGUGCCCCUUAUGGGUGUAACCCGGUACUUGUGGAAUGCGGUCGGACGCGGGGGCAGUACCCGCCAUCUCCACCAAUGGGGAUGAAUUAGGAUCGACGCCCGUUGGAAGCGAGUGACGCACCUCGGUAUGAUACCGCCGUUAUCGGAUCGAAAUUUGAGCGGACAACGAUAACGUUCCGUAUGUUGAGGCUCUCGCGGCCUAACGGAGUUCGGCGGGCACUUGGCAACAGAAGCCCGCCACC
This 315-nucleotide transfer-messenger RNA is filed under the name Nitratireductor arenosus. RNAcentral describes it as "Nitratireductor sp. CAU 1489 transfer-messenger RNA". It matches the Rfam family "Alphaproteobacteria transfer-messenger RNA". Rfam says of the family: Bacterial tmRNA, also known as 10Sa RNA or SsrA, is named for its dual tRNA and mRNA-like properties. Its role is to liberate the mRNA from a stalled ribosome. The record is from RNAcentral. Lineage: Bacteria; Pseudomonadati; Pseudomonadota; Alphaproteobacteria; Hyphomicrobiales; Phyllobacteriaceae.